This 335-nucleotide unclassified non-coding RNA is filed under the name soil metagenome. RNAcentral describes it as "partial contains 5.8S ribosomal RNA, internal transcribed spacer 2, and large subunit ribosomal RNA". The stretch from base 1 to 120 matches the Rfam family "5.8S ribosomal RNA", at positions 35 to 154 of the family's 154-position model. The record is from RNAcentral.
GAUGAAGAACGUAGCGAAAUGCGAUAAGUAAUGUGAAUUGCAGAGUUUAGUGAAUCAUCGAAUCUUUGAACGCACAUUGCGCCCGCCAGUAUUCUGGCGGGCAUGCCUGUUCGAGCGUCAUUUCAACCAUCAAGCCCCAGGCUUGUGUUGGGGACCUGCGGCUGCCGCAGGCCCUGAAAACCAGUGGCGGGCUCGCUAGUCACACCGAGCGUAGUAGCAUACACAUCGCUCAGGGCGUGCUGCGGGUUCCGGCCGUUAAACCCCUUUUUUACCCAAGGUUGACCUCGGAUCAGGUAGGAAGACCCGCUGAACUUAAGCAUAUCAAUAGCGGAGGA